UAUAAAAUUAGUUUAUUAUUUAUUAUUAAAGAAAUAGCUUUAGGAAUUUGAUAGGAAUAAUUGAAUUAAGAGUGUAAAAAUUUUUGUGUUUUGUUUUUUUUGUAUCUUAAUUUAUAGAGGGAUUAAAAAGAGUUUUGUUCCUGAAAAUCUUGGUGCGACUGUUUUGAUAUUUUUUGUUUCAAAAAAAUUGCAAAUAAAAUAGUAGAAAUGAAAGGUUUUUCGGAAAGGUUGAUAGCUGGUUUAAAGGGAAAUAUAUUGAAGUAUAGGGAUAGGUUCUAUAUAAUUGCUGCAGGGUUAUAUAGGGUAUAUAAAUUACUGUUUAUAAGUAUUUUUAUAAUGCCUAUUACUUGGACUUAGAGGGAUUAGCUUCUUAGUGAACAAAUUUAGAUUAAAUACAAAGUAAAAUUAGUAUUGUUUAUCUUAUAAAAUUUUAUUAAUAAAAUAGUAUAUAUUGUGAAAGUUUUUAGUACCUUAAUAGUGUGAGUAAAUUUUUUUCGACGAAGUUAGUAUAAAAUUAGUAGGUAUAGUAUAUUAAUUAACUUAUGUUAAAAUUUUGUUAUGACAAGAUUUAGGUUUAUGUGUAAUAUUGUAUAAAAGAACUCGGCAAAAAAUUUUACGCCUGUUUAACAAAAACAUGGCUCUUUGGUGUUAGAAAUAAAGAGUCGGACCUGCCCGGUGAAUGUAAUAAACGGUUGCAACGAGAGUUGUACGAAGGUAGCGUGAUAAGUUGUCUUUUAAUUGGAGAAUGGAAUGAAGGGUUUGACGUGAAAUUUCUUUUUUUAUAAAAGGUACUAAAGUUUCCUUCUAAGUGAAAAGGCUUAGGUUUUUGAAAAAGACGAGAAGACCCUGUCGAACUUGAUUAAGAAUUACUGGUUAUAGAUAUUUAAAAGUUUUAUUGGGGCAAUAUUAACUUAAAAAACAGUUAAUUUAUUCAUAGAUCCUUUUUGAAAGAAAGAGGAAAAAGUUACCGCAGGGAUAACAGCGUUAUUUCUUCUAAGAGAUCUUAUUGAGGAAGAAGUUUGCGACCUCGAUGUUGGAUUAUAGAAACUUUAUGGUGCAGCAGCUAUAAUUGUGAGACUGUUCGUCUUUUAAUUCUAUACAUGAUCUGAGUUAAAACCGGCGUGAGCUAGGUUGGUUUCUAUCUUUUUUUAUUAUUUUCAUUGUACGAAAGGAUCCGAAAGUAAAGUGUUACUUUGUUGAGUUAAUAUAACAAAUUAAC
Non-coding RNA from Mercenaria mercenaria, 1219 nucleotides. NCBI's taxonomy places the organism in Eukaryota, Metazoa, Mollusca, Bivalvia, Venerida, Veneridae. The record is from the annotation of a RefSeq genome assembly.